GACGAACCGAGCGAACGUUAUUCGGAAUCACUGGGCUUAAAGCGCGUGUAGGCGGGGCGGCACGUCGGUCGCUGAAAUCCCCCGGCUCAACCGGGGAAGGGGCGCCGAUACGACCGCCCUGGAGGGACGUAGGGGGGCCUGGAACUUCCGGUGGAGCGGUGAAAUGCGUUGAGAUCGGAAGGAACGCCCGUGGCGAAAGCGAGGCCCUGGACGUCUGCUGACGCUGAGACGCGAAAGCCAGGGGAGAGAACGGG
Molecule: ribosomal RNA, 254 nt
Filed under: uncultured bacterium
Lineage: Bacteria
Description: partial 16S ribosomal RNA
Rfam family: Bacterial small subunit ribosomal RNA
Source: RNAcentral